This 497-nucleotide ribosomal RNA is filed under the name uncultured bacterium. Its description in RNAcentral is "partial 16S ribosomal RNA". It matches the Rfam family "Bacterial small subunit ribosomal RNA", at positions 28 to 507 of the family's 1533-position model. The record is from RNAcentral.
GAUGAACGCUGGCGGCGUGCCUAAUACAUGCAAGUCGAGCGAACGGACGAGAAGCUUGCUUCUCUGAUGUUAGCGGCGGACGGGUGAGUAACACGUGGAUAACCUACCUAUAAGACUGGGAUAACUUCGGGAAACCGGAGCUAAUACCGGAUAAUAUUUUGAACCGCAUGGUUCAAAAGUGAAAGACGGUCUUGCUGUCACUUAUAGAUGGAUCCGCGCUGCAUUAGCUAGUUGGUUAGGUAACGGCUUACCAAGGCAACGAUGCAUAGCCGACCUGAGAGGGUGAUCGGCCACACUGGAACUGAGACACGGUCCAGACUCCUACGGGAGGCAGCAGUAGGGAAUCUUCCGCAAAGGGCGAAAGCCUGACGGAGCAACGCCGCGUGAGUGAUGAAGGUCUUCGGAUCGUAAAACUCUGUUAUUAGGGAAGAACAUAUGUGUAAGUAACUGUGCACAUCUUGACGGUACCUAAUCAGAAAGCCACGGCUAACUACGUG